ACUCCUACGGGAGGCAGCAGUGGGGAAUAUUGCACAAUGGGGGAAACCCUGAUGCAGCCAUGCCGCGUGUGUGAAGAAGGCCUUCGGGUUGUAAAGCACUUUCAGUAGGGAGGAAGGUAGUGUAGUUAACACCUGCAUUAUUUGACGUUACCUACAGAAGAAGCACCGGCUAACUCCGUGCCAGCAGCCGCGGUAAUACGGAGGGUGCGAGCGUUAAUCGGAAUUACUGGGCGUAAAGCGCAUGCAGGCGGCCUGUUAAGUCAGAUGUGAAAGCCCGGGGUCUUAACCGUCGGAAUUGCAUUUGAAACUGGCAGGCUAGAGUCUUGUAGAGGGGUUAGAAUUUCAGGUGUAGCGGUGAAAUGCGUAGAGAUCUGAAGGAAUACCAGUGCGAAGGCGGCCCCCUGGACAAAGACUGACGCUCAGAUGCGAAAGCGUGGGAGCAAACAGGAUUAGAUACCCCGUGGUAGCGACUGA
This 474-nucleotide ribosomal RNA is filed under the name uncultured bacterium. RNAcentral describes it as "bacterial SSU rRNA". It matches the Rfam family "Bacterial small subunit ribosomal RNA", at positions 335 to 803 of the family's 1533-position model. The record is from RNAcentral.